AGAAGAACGGUCGUAAAAGCUGAAAUCGGGAAUUGGUUUUUUAGUUAUUCCCAAAUUUGCAUUGUAGAAUGCCUCAAUUGUACCAAUGUCUUCCCAAUACCCGUCGUAUAGAUAAGCUUGUACCCUCAUUCCGAUGCUAGUUGCACCAGGAAUCACUUCACUUCCAAAAUCAUUAGCUCCGGGAAACUUUUCGCUAAGUAAUUGCAGCAUCA
RNAcentral lists this unclassified non-coding RNA (212 nucleotides) under Hevea brasiliensis (rubber tree). The record is from RNAcentral. Lineage: Eukaryota; Viridiplantae; Streptophyta; Magnoliopsida; Malpighiales; Euphorbiaceae.